Molecule: transfer RNA, 74 nt
Filed under: Calothrix parasitica NIES-267
Lineage: Bacteria; Bacillati; Cyanobacteriota; Cyanophyceae; Nostocales; Calotrichaceae
Description: tRNA-Arg
Rfam family: tRNA
About the family: Transfer RNA (tRNA) molecules are approximately 80 nucleotides in length. Their secondary structure includes four short double-helical elements and three loops (D, anti-codon, and T loops).
Source: RNAcentral
GGGAGUGUAGCCUAAUGGAUGAGGCAACCGUCUUCUAAACGGUUUCAUGUGGGUUCAAGUCCUACCACUCCUGC